GCAUCAGCCGCUUCAAUCGACUCGAGGCGGAAGGCCGGACCUGGAUGCAUCACAGUAAUGGUUUGGAGAGUAAAUUUCAGCAAGAUGCAAGGGAAUGGUCGCUUCGUGCCUAACUCGACAACAAGGAGCGGAUGGCGAUGCCCUGCAGUUUGUGGUUCAAUUCACCUCUACAGGAGACAAAAAACAGGUGUCCAUGUGAUUUGUCGGAUGAGCCUGUGAAGAAAAGUUGCGGCUUCGGGCGACCAUCCCAGAGCGGAUGAGGCCGAGCGCAGGGUCGAGGACGGGCUGGAGCAGCAGAUCGACUCGGCAGCUGUGUCAUACCGGAGGGGAAGAGAACAACCACAACAACGCCUGGCCCAGCAUGCCUUGCUGACUCCAUUCUCUACCUCGCCUGCUCCGGUCCGCGCUGUUUGUUCCGCACAAAGACUCACCCUAGAUCCCAUCACAUCACCGAUCAAGCACAAUAGCGCCCGCCGGGCGGAGUCAUCUAUUCUCCCAUCAAAAUCAGAAUCUAUUGCAUGUAUUUUCAGGAACAAUUAAAUAUUCUUACUGGCCCACUAGGAUACUAAGUAUUUUACCAUAGAGGAGAAAUUAGGGGCAACUACAUGCAACAAGGGAGCAACACUAGGAGAAGAGCGGAACCAAAAAGUCAGGAAUGUAUAGUUCCUAUGUAAGAGCUUCAGCCAAUGAACGAAAGAUAUGGGUCGUGUGCCACAUCGAGUUAUAGAAAUAGUCAAAAGUUGCUUGAUAGGUCUGUAAGAAAGGAUGAUAGUUCUUGAAUGGAAUAAGACUAGAGAGGUUUGCACCGUGUGUGCUUGUGUGUUAGCAAGAGAUAUACGGGUGACCAAUAUCACUAAGAAUAUAUUAAUAUUUAUCGGAUAAUCAGAAACCACGAGAGUGUUUGUCUGAA
Lolium rigidum is the source of this 910-nucleotide RNA transcript. RefSeq lists it as uncharacterized. Lineage: Eukaryota; Viridiplantae; Streptophyta; Magnoliopsida; Poales; Poaceae. The record is from RefSeq and is a predicted model, not a curated record. The transcript has 6 exons.